Molecule: ribosomal RNA, 506 nt
Filed under: bacterium EP1.44
Lineage: Bacteria
Also listed under: 3 other names
Description: bacterial SSU rRNA
Rfam family: Bacterial small subunit ribosomal RNA
Source: RNAcentral
AUCAGUGGCGAACGGGUGAGUAACACGUGAGUAACCUGCCCUUGACUCUGGGAUAAGCGUUGGAAACGACGUCUAAUACCGGAUACGAGCUUCAGCCGCAUGGCUAGGAGUUGGAAAGAAUUUCGGUCAAGGAUGGACUCGCGGCCUAUCAGCUUGUUGGUGAGGUAAUGGCUCACCAAGGCGACGACGGGUAGCCGGCCUGAGAGGGUGACCGGCCACACUGGGACUGAGACACGGCCCAGACUCCUACGGGAGGCAGCAGUGGGGAAUAUUGCACAAUGGGCGCAAGCCUGAUGCAGCAACGCCGCGUGAGGGACGACGGCCUUCGGGUUGUAAACCUCUUUUAGCAGGGAAGAAGCGCAAGUGACGGUACCUGCAGAAAAAGCACCGGCUAACUACGUGCCAGCAGCCGCGGUAAUACGUAGGGUGCAAGCGUUGUCCGGAAUUAUUGGGCGUAAAGAGCUCGUAGGCGGUUUGUCGCGUCUGCUGUGAAAACGCGAGGCUCA